GGGGCAACGGUCUUUGAUCUACAGCUUCGUGGCUAAAGGAACAGUGGUUCUCGCCGAACCCAUACGUUUCUCAUCCGUCCCUUCCUUCUUCAGCUACCAAAUCCACGGCCUUCUUAAACUCUCACAAAUGGUUAGUAAUGCUAUUGUGGAGUUACUUUGCUGUUGUCUUUACCGAUCCGGGCAGUGUGCCACCUAAUUGGAGGCCUGCGUCGGAUAAGGAGAGAGGUGAGACCGAUCCAUUGACUGAGGCAGAAUUGGGUGGUAUGUCAGCAAACCCAGUGAAUCCAAGGAUCCGUUAUUGUCGGAAGUGCAACCAGCCGAAACCACCUCGGUGCCAUCAUUGUUCUAUUUGUGGGAGGUGUGUGCUGAAAAUGGACCAUCAUUGUGUGUGGGUUGUCAAUUGUGUGGGGGCAUUGAACUACAAGUAUUUUCUUCUUUUCAUUUU
Non-coding RNA from Camellia sinensis, 445 nucleotides. Lineage: Eukaryota; Viridiplantae; Streptophyta; Magnoliopsida; Ericales; Theaceae. The record is from RefSeq and is a predicted model, not a curated record.